Cyprinus carpio carpio is the source of this 704-nucleotide long non-coding RNA. Lineage: Eukaryota; Metazoa; Chordata; Actinopteri; Cypriniformes; Cyprinidae. The record is from Ensembl.
AGAAGAGGCUCCAGUAGUAGAGCCAUUUGAUUCACCAGUAUCCACAGAAGAAGCAUCUGAUGUCCUGGUGAUAGAACAGGAAAUAUUGGUUGUCCCAGUGACAGAAGAGACACCAGUUUCCUCUGUAACAGAAGAGGGAGCAGUUUCCUUGGUUACCGAAGAAGCUCCUGUUGCUGUGGCUGAAGAUGCACCUGUUGUAGCAACCGAAGAACUUGAGGAAACACCUGCAACCAAAGUAACAGAAGAGGUUAUUCCAGUGGUUGAGGAAGGUGUGGAAGUGAAGGCAGCAGAGGCUAUUGUUACAGAGGCUUCGGUAAGUAUAGUCGAUGAAGAAGCAGCAAGUCCAUUUGUGGAAGUUACAGAAAGUGUUGUUGAACCAGAUGUUGCAAGCACAGUGGUAGCUGAGAAAGUUGCUCUAGCUGAAACAUCAAGUGAGCCUGAUUCUUUGGAAGAGCCCAAACGAGACUACAUAGUGGUUAUCUUGGAGGGAGCUCCCAAAACAGAAAAGAAGCCCAUGGUGCUCGGUGUGUCCCCCAUGAUUGGCAAGAUCAUCUCAGCCCCUGAUGAUGGUGAAGAGCCAUCGGGACAGGUAACAGUUGGGAGCAGUCAGACGUUCUGGGAUAGUAAACUGGUUCCCUGAUAAAGAAUUAGUGAUGUGCCUCGCCCUUUUCUUACUUACCUGACCCCCUGGAUUUCAGUAAUCC